GAUUGUUUAUUGCAACUCAAUUUACAAUCACCAAGAGAUGUGGAAACAACCCAAGUGCACAUCAACCAGGGAAUGAAUUAAGGAACUGUAGUAUAUGUAUACGAUGAAAUACUAUUCAUCCAUAAAAUAAUUGGAGACUUUACAUCUUUUGUAUUAACCUGAAUAGAGUUGAAACACAGCCUUCUUAAUAAAGUACCACGAGAAUGGAAAAGCAAGUAUAUCCAAUGUACUCACUACCAAUAUGAAGCCAGUAGAUGAACUAAUACACACCCACGCAAGAGAAAAACUCAAUUCAAUUCAAGUUGUGGGAAGGGAAAAAAGGGAGGGGGAGAGAGAGAGAGGAGGGAAGGGAGGAAACGGAACUGAUGUGCUCCCACCUCAUGGGCAUAUCAUAAGGGUACAUGGCACACCUCCAGGAGGUGAAACACAACUACAACAGGGACCUUACUAACAAACACAAACAUUGUAACCUAAUCAUUUGUACCCUCAUAUUAAUCUAAAAAUUUUUUUUAAAAAGACUUUUUUUAUUUUGUAGAGACAGAGUCUCACUUCAUGGCCCUCGGUAGAGUGCCGUGGCCUCACACAGCUCACAGCAACCUCCAACUCCUGGGCUUAAGCGAUUCUCCUGCCUCAGCCUCCCGAGUAGCUGGGACUACAGGUGCCUGCCACAACGCCCGGCUAUUAAAAAGACAUUUUUUAAGGAAAAAAAAAAACAAGAACAAAAAAGACCAGAAUUCUGUUCUCUGCUCCACCAUUUCAGGAAAGGGAAACAAAAAACAAGAGAUUCCAAGGGUAAUUUGCUCUCUGUGAAGGCACUGAGCCUGAGCAACUGCGAACAAAGUUAGCCAACCUUCUACUCUGCCCUCCAGGGAGACAGUGGUCAUAGAUCUUGUCUUUAUGACCAGAGAAACCCAACAAUGCUUUCAAUUCCCUUAGGGCUGUACCAGGGGUAAGUGAGUGUAAUUAUGAAAAGAGGCUAACUUUUGCCUCCAGGUGGCCAGAGGGAGAGUGAGUAACUUGGCUCUGGGAUCUCUGUGUUCCCUUCUGCUUGCCCCCCAGGGCAUGCUACAAGCUAUCUGCAGUGAGUCUAAGCAAGGGCUCUGUCAGGUGAGAUCUAGGUAGGUGGGGCUGCCAGGAAUAUAAGCAGCAGGUGCCAAGAAGGCAAAAUCCCUGCUUUGGCCUUUGAACACUAUUCUAACCACCUUGCUCAAUCAUGAAGGUGACUUUGGCUUUGCUGUUGCUCUCAUUGGGACUCUUCUCUUCUGCACUUGCUUGCAGAGAGAUGAAUGAGUAUUUCAAAGAUUUCUUUCAGAGCUGCAUUUCCAACUUCCUGAAAGUGUCCACUCCUCUGGAAUUGUCUCUGCCGCUCCAGAGUAUCCUGCAUAAACUCAGAGCAGAGGUGGAUGCCCUGCCAGCUGAGCAGAUAAAGGCCCUGGUCACCCUACUGCAAAACAUCAGAAACGACUGUUAAAGGGCCAGAGGAAACGAGCCUCAGAUGCCUGGAGUGUGGCGCGUAUCCGUCCUCCCAACUCCCACCCACCUGGCCGGCCUGGGUGUGAACGGGUUUCUCCCCUCGUAGCCUGAAACCAAGUCCUUACCUGGACCCAGCUCAUCAACUCUCAAGCCAAAUGUCCACCCCUUUGCUUGGCUCCUUUCAAUAAAAACAGUGCAGUUGCCAUCAUGGGAAAGCUACUUCUGCUGUGAUAGGAGAGGGUUGGGGCUAAGGAUCAGGCAGGGUGCCUUCUCUGUGGUUGAGACAAUGAAAACAAAAAAUGGACACAGCGUGGUAACAAAGGUAAGCUGGACCCAAUGACACAAACUUCUCUACGCAGGGAAUGAGACGGGUGUAUGUGUUCCCGAAGGGUUUUCUCCAAACCAUCACCCUGCAAUGCUACCCCGAGCUUAUAUUUCCCUGCGCAGGAUCUAAGUUAUUUUCUCUCUGAUAAAAAGCCAUGAUACCAACCUCAGUGAGUUUUCACUUUCAUAGAAACACAGUUGUAUUACCAAUGACAUAACCGUAUCUGAGGGCUGACAAUUAAGUUCAAGAAUUCAUCCUAGAACAAGUGCUACAUGCCUCCCUGUUGAAUACUACUGCAGUCACAGUCACCUCGGCAAAGGGACCUGCAGACCUCGGUUCACAUCCCUCCCCCUUUUCUGCAUCUUUUCUCUUCCCAGAUCGGAAACUCCAUACUGCAUACGCACCUACCCUUCAAAGAAAUUACGUUCUCGGUGUUUUUUUGUUCUCUUGUUUGUUUGUUUUUUUGAGCUAGAGUCUGGCUCUGUCAUGUGCUGUGGCAUGAGCCUAACUCACAGCAACCUCAAAUUCCUGAGCUCAAGCAAUCCUCCUGCCUCAGCCUCACAAGUAGCUGGGACUACAGCUCUGUGCUACAACACCUGGAUAAUUUUUCUAUUUUUAGUAUAGAUGGGGUCUCUCUUACUCAGGCUGGUCUCAAACUCCUGACCCCAAGUGAUCCUCCUGCCUCACUCUCCCAGAGUGCUAGGAUGAUAGGCGUGAGCCACCCCACCUGGCCUCCUUCACAUUUCUCACCCAAGAACAGCAUAUGGCCCUUUGUGGCUGGCUUGUAAG
This is a long non-coding RNA of Nycticebus coucang (slow loris), 2587 nucleotides long. RefSeq lists it as uncharacterized. The transcript is spliced from 3 exons. The record is from RefSeq and is a predicted model, not a curated record. Lineage: Eukaryota; Metazoa; Chordata; Mammalia; Primates; Lorisidae.